RNAcentral lists this ribosomal RNA (543 nucleotides) under Erwinia sp. Ob 10a. Its description in RNAcentral is "bacterial SSU rRNA". It matches the Rfam family "Bacterial small subunit ribosomal RNA", at positions 52 to 585 of the family's 1533-position model. Lineage: Bacteria; Pseudomonadati; Pseudomonadota; Gammaproteobacteria; Enterobacterales; Erwiniaceae. The record is from RNAcentral.
CACAUGCAAGUCGAACGGUAGCACAGGAGAGCUUGCUCUCUGGGUGACGAGUGGCGGACGGGUGAGUAAUGUCUGGGAAACUGCCCGAUGGAGGGGGAUAACUACUGGAAACGGUAGCUAAUACCGCAUAACGUCUACGGACCAAAGUGGGGGACCUUCGGGCCUCACACCAUCGGAUGUGCCCAGAUGGGAUUAGCUUGUUGGUGAGGUAAUGGCUCACCAAGGCGACGAUCCCUAGCUGGUCUGAGAGGAUGACCAGCCACACUGGAACUGAGACACGGUCCAGACUCCUACGGGAGGCAGCAGUGGGGAAUAUUGCACAAUGGGCGCAAGCUGAUGCAGCCAUGCCGCGUGUAUGAAGAAGGCCUUCGGGUUGUAAAGUACUUUCAGCGGGGAGGAAGGGAGUGAGGUUAAUAACCUCGUUCAUUGACGUUACCCGCAGAAGAAGCACCGGCUAACUCCGUGCCAGCAGCCGCGGUAAUACGGAGGGUGCAAGCGUUAAUCGGAAUUACUGGGCGUAAAGCGCACGCAGGCGGUCUGUCA